This 497-nucleotide ribosomal RNA is filed under the name uncultured bacterium. Its description in RNAcentral is "partial 16S ribosomal RNA". It matches the Rfam family "Bacterial small subunit ribosomal RNA", at positions 28 to 507 of the family's 1533-position model. The record is from RNAcentral.
GAUGAACGCUGGCGGCGUGCCUAAUACAUGCAAGUCGAGCGAACGGACGAGAAGCUUGCUUUUCUGAUGUUAGCGGCGGACGGGUGAGUAACACGUGGAUAACCUACCUAUAAGACUGGGAUAACUUCGGGAAACCGGAGCUAAUACCGGAUAAUAUUUUGAACCGCAUGGUUCAAAAGUGAAAGACGGUCUUGCUGUCACUUAUAGAUGGAUCCGCGCUGCAUUAGCUAGUUGGUAAGGUAACGGCUUACCAAGGCAACGAUGCAUAGCCGACCUGAGAGGGUGAUCGGCCACACUGGAACUGAGACACGGUCCAGACGCCUACGGGAGGCAGCAGUAGGGAAUCUUCCGCAAUGGGCGAAAGCCUGGCGGAGCAACGCCGCGUGAGUGAUGAAGGUCUUCGGAUCGUAAAACUCUGUUAUUAGGGAAGAACAUAUGUGUAAGUAACUGUGCACAUCUUGACGGUACCUAAUCAGAAAGCCACGGCUAACUACGUG